GCCUCUGUAGGUCAAGGCAGACCACCUGAAAAUAAUAACUCGCGAGUUCACUGGAUGUCUCUUCAGGAGAUGUGGGUUCAAUUCCCACCGGAAGCA
Molecule: non-coding RNA, 96 nt
Organism: Mycena galericulata
Lineage: Eukaryota; Fungi; Basidiomycota; Agaricomycetes; Agaricales; Mycenaceae
Source: the annotation of a GenBank genome assembly